UACAGAGGGGGCAAGCGUUGUUCGGAAUUACUGGGCGUAAAGCGCGCGCAGGCGGUUUCUCAAGUCAGUGGUGAAAGCCCGGAGCUCAACUCCGGAACUGCCAUUGAAACUGUGAAACUUGAGGACGAGAGAGGUGAGUGGAAUUCCCAGUGUAGAGGUGAAAUUCGUAGAUAUUCGCAAGAACACCAGUGGCGAAGGCGGCUCACUGGCCCGAUACUGACGCUGAGGCACGAAAGCGUGGGGAGCAAACAGG
RNAcentral lists this ribosomal RNA (253 nucleotides) under uncultured bacterium. RNAcentral's name for it is "partial 16S ribosomal RNA". It matches the Rfam family "Bacterial small subunit ribosomal RNA", at positions 524 to 776 of the family's 1533-position model. The record is from RNAcentral.